RNAcentral lists this non-coding RNA (63 nucleotides) under Paramoeba aestuarina. Lineage: Eukaryota; Discosea; Flabellinia; Dactylopodida; Paramoebidae. The record is from RNAcentral.
UGUCAAAUUUGUCAUUGAGUAUGGAGGGUAAUAUGCAAGACCCAAUUUCUCAUUAUGAUCGAA